RNAcentral lists this ribosomal RNA (429 nucleotides) under Bacteroidota bacterium. RNAcentral's name for it is "Bacteroidetes bacterium partial 16S ribosomal RNA". It matches the Rfam family "Bacterial small subunit ribosomal RNA", at positions 355 to 776 of the family's 1533-position model. Lineage: Bacteria; Pseudomonadati; Bacteroidota. The record is from RNAcentral.
UAGGGAAUCUUCCGCAAUGGACGCAAGUCUGACGGAGCAACGCCGCGUGAGUGAAGAAGGAUUUCGGUUCGUAAAACUCUGUUGUUAGAGAAGAACAGCGCAUAGAGUAACUGUUAUGCGUGUGACGGUAUCUAACCAGAAAGCCACGGCUAACUACGUGCCAGCAGCCGCGGUAAUACGUAGGUGGCAAGCGUUGUCCGGAUUUAUUGGGCGUAAAGCGAGCGCAGGCGGUCAAUUAAGUCUGAUGUGAAAGCCCCCGGCUCAACCGGGGAGGGUCAUUGGAAACUGGUUGACUUGAGUGCAGAAGAGGAGAGUGGAAUUCCAUGUGUAGCGGUGAAAUGCGUAGAUAUAUGGAGGAACACCAGUGGCGAAGGCGACUCUCUGGGCUGUAACUGACGCUGAGGCUCGAAAGCGUGGGUAGCAAACAGG